UCUGAGUUGUUUUGGGUAGUAUGAGAAGAUCUGAAAACCUAAAAUUUUUGGCGGUUUUAUAGGCUAGUUAGAGGAAUCUGUUCUGUGAGAGAUAUUCCACGUUGGUUUUUACUUUUUUUUUGUUUAUAUACCGCCGUCAUAAAGUAAUUUUUUUAGAAUUUAUUGGAAUACAAUAGGUGUGUAAAAUGACAGGUCUAGGUGUAGCUUAUGGAAAAGGAUGAAAUGGAUUACAAUACUUUAUUAGUAAAUGAAUAUUUUUUAGAAAUAAAAAAUUGAAGGUGGAUUUAAAAGUAAUUUUUAAUUAAAAUGUAAUUUUGAUUUUGGCUCUGUAAAAUGU
This 337-nucleotide ribosomal RNA is filed under the name Phrynichus scaber. Its description in RNAcentral is "partial 12S ribosomal RNA". The record is from RNAcentral. Lineage: Eukaryota; Metazoa; Arthropoda; Arachnida; Amblypygi; Phrynichidae.